RNAcentral lists this ribosomal RNA (256 nucleotides) under uncultured bacterium. RNAcentral's name for it is "partial 16S ribosomal RNA". It matches the Rfam family "Bacterial small subunit ribosomal RNA", at positions 793 to 1055 of the family's 1533-position model. The record is from RNAcentral.
GUCCACGCCGUAAACGAUGGAUACUAGCUGUUGGGGGGCAACUUCAGUGGCUAAGCGAAAGUGAUAAGUAUCCCACCUGGGGAGUACGUUCGCAAGAAUGAAACUCAAAGGAAUUGACGGGGGCCCGCACAAGCGGUGGAGCAUGUGGUUUAAUUCGAUGAUACGCGAGGAACCUUACCAAGGCUUAAAUGUAGAUUGACCGGUUUGGAAACAGACCCUUCGCAAGACAAUUUACAAGGUGCUGCAUGGUUGUCGU